GGAUAACCUGCCCUUGGGUCCGGCAUAACCCCGGGAAACUGGGGAUAAUACCGGAUAACGCACAUAUGCUGGAAUGCUUUAUGCGUAAAACGGAUUCGUCUGCCCAAGGAUGGGUCUGCGGCCUAUCAGGUAGUAGUGGGUGUAAUGUACCUACUAGCCGACGACGGGUACGGGUUGUGAGAGCAAGAGCCCGGAGAUGGAUUCUGAGACAUGAAUCCAGGCCCUACGGGGCGCAGCAGGCGCGAAAACUUUACAAUGCGGGAAACCGUGAUAAGGGGACACCGAGUGCCAGCAUCAUAUGCUGGCUGUCCAGAUGUGUAAAAUACAUCUGUUAGCAAGGGCCGGGCAAGACCGGUGCCAGCCGCCGCGGUAACACCGGCGGCCCGAGUGGUGAUCGUGAUUAUUGGGUCUAAAGGGUCCGUAGCCGGUUUGGUCAGUCCUCCGGGAAAUCUGAUAGCUCAACUAUUAGGCUUUCGGGGGAUACUGCCAGACUUGGAACCGGGAGAGGUAAGAGGUACUACAGGGGUAGGAGUGAAAUCUUGUAAUCCCUGUGGGACCACCUGUGGCGAAGGCGUCUUACCAGAACGGGUUCGACGGUGAGGGGCGAAAGCUGGGGGCACGAACCGGAUUAGAUACCCGGGUAGUCCCAGCCGUAAACGAUGCUCGCUAGGUGUCAGACAUGGCGCGACCGUGUCUGGUGCCGCAGGGAAGCCGUGAAGCGAGCCACCUGGGAAGUACGGCCGCAAGGCUGAAACUUAA
Molecule: ribosomal RNA, 759 nt
Filed under: uncultured archaeon
Lineage: Archaea
Description: bacterial SSU rRNA
Rfam family: Archaeal small subunit ribosomal RNA
Source: RNAcentral